AUUGAACGCUGUCGGCAGGCUUAACACAUGCAAGUCGAACGAUGAAACUCUAGCUUGCUAGAGAAGAUUAGUGGCGGACGGGUGAGUAACAUUUAGGAAUCUGCCUAGUAGUGGGGGAUAGCUCGGGGAAACUCGAAUUAAUACCGCAUACGACCUACGGGUGAAAGGGGGCGCAAGCUCUUGCUAUUAGAUGAGCCUAAAUCAGAUUAGCUAGUUGGUGGGGUAAAGGCCCACCAAGGCGACGAUCUGUAACUGGUCUGAGAGGAUGAUCAGUCACACCGGAACUGAGACACGGUCCGGACUCCUACGGGAGGCAGCAGUGGGGAAUAUUGGACAAUGGGGGCAACCCUGAUCCAGCCAUGCCGCGUGUGUGAAGAAGGCCUUUUGGUUGUAAAGCACUUUAAGCAGGGAGGAGAGGCUAAUGGUUAAUACCCAUUAGAUUAGACGUUACCUGCAGAAUAAGCACCGGCUAACUCUGUGCCAGCAGCCGCGGUAAUACAGAGGGUGCGAGCGUUAAUCGGAAUUACUGGGCGUAAAGCGAGUGUAGGUGGCUCAUUAAGUCACAUGUGAAAUCCCCGGGCUUAACCUGGGAACUGCAUGUGAUACUGGUGGUGCUAGAAUAUGUGAGAGGGAAGUAGAAUUCCAGGUGUAGCGGUGAAAUGCGUAGAGAUCUGGAGGAAUACCGAUGGCGAAGGCAGCUUCCUGGCAUAAUAUUGACACUGAGAUUCGAAAGCGUGGGUAGCAAACAGGAUUAGAUACCCUGGUAGUCCACGCCGUAAACGAUGUCUACUAGCCGUUGGGGUCCUUGAGACUUUAGUGGCGCAGUUAACGCGAUAAGUAGACCGCCUGGGGAGUACGGCCGCAAGGUUAAAACUCAAAUGAAUUGACGGGGGCCCGCACAAGCGGUGGAGCAUGUGGUUUAAUUCGAUGCAACGCGAAGAACCUUACCUGGUCUUGACAUAGUGAGAAUCCUGCAGAGAUGCGGGAGUGCCUUCGGGAAUUCACAUACAGGUGCUGCAUGGCUGUCGUCAGCUCGUGUCGUGAGAUGUUGGGUUAAGUCCCGCAACGAGCGCAACCCUUUUCCUUAUUUGCCAGCGGGUUAAGCCGGGAACUUUAAGGAUACUGCCAGUGACAAACUGGAGGAAGGCGGGGACGACGUCAAGUCAUCAUGGCCCUUACGACCAGGGCUACACACGUGCUACAAUGGUAGGUACAGAGGGUUGCUACACAGCGAUGUGAUGCUAAUCUCAAAAAGCCUAUCGUAGUCCGGAUUGGAGUCUGCAACUCGACUCCAUGAAGUCGGAAUCGCUAGUAAUCGCAGAUCAGAAUGCUGCGGUGAAUACGUUCCCGGGCCU
This 1355-nucleotide ribosomal RNA is filed under the name uncultured bacterium. RNAcentral describes it as "bacterial SSU rRNA". It matches the Rfam family "Bacterial small subunit ribosomal RNA", at positions 28 to 1381 of the family's 1533-position model. The record is from RNAcentral.